GGUACCUUGGUCGAUCGGUUAGGCACCGGCCUGCAAAGCCGUGUAGAGGGGUUCGACUCCCCUAGGUACCU
Molecule: transfer RNA, 71 nt
Filed under: Candidatus Ancillula kalotermitis
Lineage: Bacteria; Bacillati; Actinomycetota; Actinomycetes; Bifidobacteriales; Bifidobacteriaceae
Description: tRNA-Cys
Rfam family: tRNA
About the family: Transfer RNA (tRNA) molecules are approximately 80 nucleotides in length.
Source: RNAcentral